GACACCACCCUUGGCAACGAGCCGCUCGAAGAGACAGCGGCCAACUUAGGCAUCGUAGAUCCGCACGGAUCGAACGCGGGCACGCCGGUCCUCUCGAACCUCCUCGCCGAGCGUGAAACGCAGUCCGCGGCCUGAUACUCUCUGCUUUUCCCUGUUUUGUCUUUCAUGCUUCUGUACUUAGGAUUUUUAUCUGUUUUCUG
RNAcentral lists this long non-coding RNA (200 nucleotides) under Eutrema salsugineum. Its description in RNAcentral is "long non-coding RNA (ESAL_LNC001596)". The record is from RNAcentral. Lineage: Eukaryota; Viridiplantae; Streptophyta; Magnoliopsida; Brassicales; Brassicaceae.